GACGAACGCUGGCGGCGUGCUUAACACAUGCAAGUCGAACGGAAAGGCCCUGCUUUUGUGGGGUGCUCGAGUGGCGAACGGGUGAGUAACACGUGAGUAACCUGCCCUUGACUUUGGGAUAACUUCAGGAAACUGGGGCUAAUACCGGAUAGGAGCUCCUGCUGCAUGGUGGUGGUUGGAAAGUUUCGGCGGUUUGGGAUGGACUCGCGGCUUAUCAGCUUGUUGGUGGGGUAGUGGCUUACCAAGGCUUUGACGGGUAGCCCGCCUGAGAGGGGGACCGGCCACAAUGGGACUGAGGUACGGCCCAGACUCCUACCGGAGGCAGCAGGGGGGAAUAUUGCAAAAUGGGGCGAAGCCUGACGCAGCCACGCCGCGUGCGUGAUGACGGCCUUCGGGUUGUAAACCGCUUUCGCCUGUGACGAAGCGUGAGUGACGGUAAUGGGUAAAGAAGCACCGGCUAACUACGUG
Molecule: ribosomal RNA, 468 nt
Filed under: uncultured bacterium
Lineage: Bacteria
Description: partial 16S ribosomal RNA
Rfam family: Bacterial small subunit ribosomal RNA
Source: RNAcentral